Podarcis muralis (Common wall lizard) is the source of this 169-nucleotide small nuclear RNA. Its record names the gene U1. It matches the Rfam family "U1 spliceosomal RNA". From Rfam's summary of the family: U1 is a small nuclear RNA (snRNA) component of the spliceosome (involved in pre-mRNA splicing). The record is from Ensembl. NCBI's taxonomy places the organism in Eukaryota, Metazoa, Chordata, Lepidosauria, Squamata, Lacertidae.
UCACUUACCUGGCAGGAGAUACACCAUGAUCAUGAAGGUGGUUUUCCCAGGGUGGGGCUCAUCCAUUGCACUCUGUCUGAAGCGGUAAGAUAUCUUCCUCUUUGCUGUCACAGACUCAGACAAAAUAUGAUUCAUGUCCCAAUAGAUCAUCUGUUCAUACUACUCCAUU